CAUUCUUAUUAUUAGCACAAGUGGGAUACAGUGAAUAUGAUCGGCUAUAAAAGCUACCCGUGAAAAAUUGUACAUUUUAGUCGUUCUUGUUAACUCGAACCAUGAAAAACUUCAAAGGUUUGUGUGUUAUCAUUGUUGCUUUGACUUUCGCUGCCGAAGCCUGCCAAGAAGUUCCUACACCAAAUUGUAACGAUUGCUUCUGUCCAUGCAGACCCCCUGGUGGUGGUGAAGAUGAUCGCAUACGUCCGUCCCAGGAAUGCCUGGCUCUGAUCGACUGUGUCCCUGAUACUUUCGAAUGUAGUGCUGAUGUUAUGGCCUGCCAGCUACCGAAACCCGAACCAAAACCAGAAUUAUGCUUCUGUCCGUGUCGACUUCCGUUUUGCGGUCCUGAUGCAUUGUAUUAUCCGAGCCAAAGUUGUCUGGCUAGAAUAAAAUGUGCAUUUGGUCAGGUUGAAUGUAGUGCUGCGUACAUCAACGGAAGUGGAAAAUAAAUUUUGCCAAUUUUUGACGUU
This is a long non-coding RNA of Bradysia coprophila, 512 nucleotides long. The record is from RefSeq and is a predicted model, not a curated record. Lineage: Eukaryota; Metazoa; Arthropoda; Insecta; Diptera; Sciaridae.